CGGCGGACGGGUGAGUAACGCGUGGGCAACCUGCCUUACACAGGGGGAUAACAGUUAGAAAUGACUGCUAAUACCGCAUAAGACCACAGGACUGCAUGGUCCGGUGGUAAAAACUCCGGUGGUGUAAGAUGGGCCCGCGUCUGAUUAGGUAGUUGGCGGGGUAACGGCCCACCAAGCCGACGAUCAGUAGCCGACCUGAGAGGGUGACCGGCCACAUUGGGACUGAGACACGGCCCAGGCUCCUACGGGAGGCAGCAG
This 258-nucleotide ribosomal RNA is filed under the name uncultured bacterium. Its description in RNAcentral is "partial 16S ribosomal RNA". It matches the Rfam family "Bacterial small subunit ribosomal RNA", at positions 96 to 354 of the family's 1533-position model. The record is from RNAcentral.